Olea europaea var. sylvestris is the source of this 691-nucleotide long non-coding RNA. RefSeq lists it as uncharacterized. The transcript is spliced from 2 exons. The record is from RefSeq and is a predicted model, not a curated record. NCBI's taxonomy places the organism in Eukaryota, Viridiplantae, Streptophyta, Magnoliopsida, Lamiales, Oleaceae.
AAUUGGCAUUAAUUUGUUUGUUGUAUAGGUCGGUGAUGAUGAACGGAUUCAUGUAUACUAUGCUCGUGGAGAAGAUAACCCUACCUUUGUUCGCAGAUGUUACUGGCUACUUGACAAGACGCUGGAACACAUUGUCCUAGUUCAUUAUCGUGAAACUCAGGAGGUUUAUCUUCUGUGCCUUGUGAAGCUCUCUUAUUUAGUUCUUUGAGUAUGUCUAUAGUGUAUUCAUGUCUUUAGUCUGUAUAAAUUUUGUAGAAUAGUGCUGUAGAAAAUUGAGCAUAUUUCUAUGACAUGACGACCUUACUUGACUCUGGCUAUAUGUAAUGAAUUUAUAUACAGUAUAAUUCUAAUUUGCUGAAUUCUUAAAGACUAGAUAUGAAUCAAGAGGACCUGUGUGUUAGACGGAAGUUCCUAGACGUGGUUUUAACUUUCAAAUAUCAAUGGAGAGAAAUUCUACAGUGACAUAUCGCGACAUCAGAAUAACCAAUUGUGCAAUAUGAAGUCACAUGCAUUAACCACAAGUUCAUUCUUAGUGGCUUAAUAAGGUCUCUAGUUAAGAUAAAUUUGAAAGGAAAAAUUGUUAAAAAAUUCAUUUAUGGGCAGCUUCGAAGUCCCGUAUAAGAAUUUUUUAUUUGUGUUAUCUUGUACCGUGUUUCUUUUUACUCGUUUAGAUAUACUGGUACUUUAUCUA